RNAcentral lists this ribosomal RNA (497 nucleotides) under uncultured bacterium. Its description in RNAcentral is "bacterial SSU rRNA". It matches the Rfam family "Bacterial small subunit ribosomal RNA", at positions 30 to 520 of the family's 1533-position model. The record is from RNAcentral.
AUUGAACGCUGGCGGAAUGCUUUACACAUGCAAGUCGAACGGCAGCACGGACUUCGGUCUGGUGGCGAGUGGCGAACGGGUGAGUAAUACAUCGGAACGUGCCCGGACGUGGGGGAUAACUACUCGAAAGAGUGGCUAAUACCGCAUACGAUCCAAGGAUGAAAGCGGGGGAUCGCAAGACCUCGCGCGUUUGGAGCGGCCGAUGGCAGAUUAGGUAGUUGGUGAGGUAAAGGCUUACCAAGCCUGCGAUCUGUAGCUGGUCUGAGAGGAUGAUCAGCCACACUGGGACUGAGACACGGCCCAGACUCCUACGGGAGGCAGCAGUGGGGAAUUUUGGACAAUGGGCGAAAGCCUGAUCCAGCCAUUCCGCGUGCAGGAUGAAGGCCCUCGGGUUGUAAACUGCUUUUGUACGGAACGAAAAGGCUCUUGCUAAUACCAGGAGUCCAUGACGGUACCGUAAGAAUAAGCACCGGCUAACUACGUGCCAGCAGCCGCGG